GAGGAGGGGACAAGGUUGGGGAUUGGAGGGGGGGGUUUCAAAGUUGGUGUAGGGAAGAGGACUGGCAGGGCACAGUCCCCUUGGGGCAGGUCAAGGGAUGGGUUACUCUUCAGCACAACAUCAGUGUGUAUAGGGCAGGGCAGCUCCAACCUGUGUCUGGCGUGUACUUCGUGUUGUCUGUUUUCUGUGUCUCAGACUGUAUGUUCCUUGGGUCUUGGUGCCUCCAUAGCCUGGUGAUCAGCAGGCACCUUGGUAGCCCUCCCAAGAGUCCGGAAUGCAUCACUUCACUGGCACAGAGCCUGUUGAGCCCUUCUCAUCUCACAAUUACAGCUUGACGCGUGGAUCUCUUUGGCGUGUGUCACAUCCUGGCUGUUUCUGAGCGUUCAUCUCUUGUGGUGGCCAGCCAGGUGCUGCCCGCAGCUCUGCUCUUGAGUCUUCUGUUUCCACAGAGUCAUCUUCUGGGGUUUCAUCCCCGUGUCCUCACUGGUCUUAGGUCUUCCAGCUCAGCUUCUCACACAUCCCUUAUUCUGGUUUUGAUGGCAGCUUUCUCUUGUGUGCGGCGGCAAUUGCCUCUCUUUGGCAGGUCUGCUUUAGAGCAUCCGUGCCAUCGUGGCACCGCAGGGCUUCUCUGCCGGCAUCAUCUUCCCUAUGGGAAUUGUUCUCCUGUCCUGUGGUCUUCUCAUGUAUCGUGGUCACAUUGCUGUGCUUGAUAAAGUGGAAUCUUUCACUGAGCAAGGACAAGAGAGUCACAGAAAGUUACAGAGUUCUUGUGAAACAAAGAUCCUGCUGUUCAAACAAGAAGAUGAGGAGGUACUUGCUUUGCUUAAAAUGUGGCAAAACUGCCAAAGUUGCUGUAGGUGAGUGAUCUCUUCUGCUUGCUGCAAGAUCAUGAAUAUGAAAACCCCACCUCCAGCACUUAGGCAGCCCACCUCCAACUGAAGACCCCCACUCACUGUGUGUGCUGUAGCUCUAAAUCAGAGCGAGACAUUCACUAACCAAUCAGAGUAGAAUAACUGAAUAUGUAUUAGGUGGAGGAAACUAACCAAAAGUGUGUGAAUGUGUAGAGUUUUGUGACUUCAAGGGGCAGCUUUGCAGCUUACCACCUAGCACCUCAUUUGUGCAAACAUAAAAUAAAUGAAAAUACCUUGGCUCUGUAUGUAUUUUGGCAUCUUGCACACCAGGUGAAUGACCCCACUUUUGGUAUAACAAGGUAUAACACUCGUGGCAUCCGUGUGUAGUCCUGGUCUGUGUGUGAGGGUUGGAGCUGCCCUGCCCAGGGGUGCAGCAGUAUUGAUGACAGGGUAGCGUAGCUUUAUGGGGGUGUGGAAGUAAGUUGGUUUGGACCAGUUCUGUUGGCAGAGACCAUACGGUCCAUCUCUGGGCGAACAGGUGUAGGCAGCUGCCACAGUUGUGUUUUCUUUACGGUCCGGGGCUAGGAUUGGAUCCAGCCGCACCUAGACUCCUCUGAGAAGGAGUUUAGAAAGCAAGGGGGUCCAGUCUGAACCUUGUGACUGGUUGGGAGCAGCAGUUAGUGUGGAAGGGGAGCGGGUCAGAUCUGGAAGGUGCCUUUGCUUGCACAGAUGGGGCUCCCUAGCUGGGUUUUGUUCUUCUAGCUGUAGUGAGAAGGUAUAUGCAAAAGGCAGAGAGACCUCUCGUCUCACCAAGCUACCUGUGGCUGUGCAGGUGACUUGCUUUACAGGGUGUGUUUGUGUUGUUUCAGAUGCAGAGCAACAAGCAGCACGGCCAAGGGCACGGAAGAGGGGAGCAGAGUGCUGGAUGAAGAAGGACAGUCAUGCAGCUCCGGAGUAUCGGCAGGACAGCUGGUGGUUCUGACAAGCUGGAGCUUCUCUGGCUGGAUUUUCUGGGUGUGAAUCCAAGUGUGAAGCGAGAUGUUAUCAGCAGAGUGGCCUCUGGCAAGGUGUUGGGGUUUUUAUUUUGGAGGCACAAGGCCAGGAGCACAGCAGGACAUCAGCACUGCAGGUGACUCGGGGGAGGUGGUACACAAGCCCUCCUAGUCCCCUGGGGUCCCCGCCUGGAUGAUUCAGGAUGGCCUGGUGCUGUGCAUUGCAUUUCCAGAGACAAACAGCAGCUUGGCAGCCUGUGGUCAGGACUCUGGAGAGAUUUGAGAAGGCCCCAGAGCACCUUCUGCAUCCUCUCUCAGUCAGCAUGUGAGUGAAGUGAUGCAGGAUUCCCACCUCUGUGCUGGCCCCACGUGCCGUUCUUUUCCCCUGUGGUUCCAGACUGUCAGCAUAGGAGAGACUUGCUUCCCCUCCAGGUCCAAGUGUUUCCCAGUGUAUGAGGGACCUGCCACAGAACCUGAGCUUUCCUGCUGCAUUGACUGAAGAGCUGCAUAACACUUAGAGCCUGGUGUAGGUUGGCUUCUUCCUGCUAAGAAGCCAUUUCUUUACAAAAUGCUUUUCUUUGUCUAAGAUGGAGACAUACAAGUAGUGGUGACCAGAUCUGUGCUUGAAAAUGGACUUGAUGGAAAGUACCAAACUUGUCUUCUGUUGCAAUCCAUAAUGAUUUUUUUGGCCUCUUUUUUUUGUACUGCUUCUCAAAUACAGUUUUCCAGCCUUUUUUUUAAAUUUAAGCAGCCAUUGAAAGAAAAACCAGCACUCAGAAUAUUGAUGGAAAAAUAAUUGUGAACAAUUUCAAAACUUCACAGAUUUGUUUAUAAGAUUAAUUUAUUUGAAAAAGUGACACACUUGUUGCUAAUCAAUUAAUAACAAACUAUUUUCACUGCAUAAUGGAGUCACAAGCUGCUGUCCUCAGACCCUGAUCUCUGGGAGGCUCUUUGUAGAAAAUCAUGCAUAGGAAUAGGAUCAUCCUCUAGGAAAGCUGGGAACACUGUGGUUCAUAAAUUGGAAUUUUUUGUGGAGUAAAACCUGGCCGUGUUGGACAAGCCUCCUGGAAAUACCCCUGCUUUCCUAGGAACUUGCUGGAGAAAUCCCCAGGCAGACUGACCAUGACACCUGAAGCAGAUACCAGCCACCGGUGUGUUCAGAUGCUGAAUGAAUAUUUCUGAUGUUCCCUUUGAACUGCUGGAAACCUGCCAGAGUUAAAUCCUAUCUUUCAUUUCUGGAGCUUUGCUGUUUUCCUUAUUUUUUUGCCUAAGGUGCAUGAUCUGAGGUGUUAAGUGUUUGAACUUGGACUGGAAGAUGCAGUUAAAAUACUCGUCUUUAUGCAGAAAGCAACCAGGGAAGACAUUCCCAAGUGUAAGUGUGGUAAUUAAUAAGAUUGUAAUGAUGAGAAAAUCAGACUUUCUUCUGGAAAUCGCUAGCAAGUUACAACCAAAGAAAGAAGUGGAUGUCAGGAUAAGGAACCCUGUGACCAUAUGGCAUUGGAAGACAUGCAUUAGGUGUUCUCUCUGUGGUUUGGCUUGACAAAACCAGUGUGGAAAAGACAGCUGAGGAGGUUCUGCUCCUCUGUCUCAUGAUAGAAGAGGAAAAUGAUAAUGAAAUGUGAAACUCUGAAGUAGCUCAGCAAAUUUCAGUGUUCUGCUUAUUACAGGGACAACUGAAAUUCCCCAUAUAGAUUCUGUGCUUUAAAAUACAACAAUUCAAAUGAACAAAACUGAUCUCAGCUGGUGCAUUUCUUGACCAAGUGGGGUUCUAUGGUCUCUCUGAGCAGCCUAUCAGCUGAACUGCUGGGAUUUUCCAUUUCUUGGUGUUUUGUUUUGUUUUGUUUUUUUUAAUUUUUACAUGACUAAGAGUGAGUUAUGUGGAAAAUCAACUCCAGGAAGCUUAUCUCAGUGGAACCCAAGAAAAAGUAACAUGCAUAAAUUAGGGUGAACUAUAUCCUGAGAUGAGCUUCACUAAUCAGGUUAAAAGAAGAUACAGAGACCUGAGAGUAUUUUAAUGUUACAUAAA
This is a long non-coding RNA of Apus apus (common swift), 3869 nucleotides long. RefSeq lists it as uncharacterized. Lineage: Eukaryota; Metazoa; Chordata; Aves; Apodiformes; Apodidae. The transcript is spliced from 3 exons. The record is from RefSeq and is a predicted model, not a curated record.